This 373-nucleotide ribosomal RNA is filed under the name uncultured organism. Its description in RNAcentral is "bacterial SSU rRNA". It matches the Rfam family "Bacterial small subunit ribosomal RNA", at positions 526 to 896 of the family's 1533-position model. The record is from RNAcentral.
CGUAGGGUGCUAGCGUUGUUCGGAAUCAUUGGGCGUAAAGCGCGUGUAGGUGGUUAGUAAAGUUGGGUGUGGAAAUCCCUGGGCUCAACCGAGGAAGUGCAUCCAAAACUAACUAGCUAGAGAGUGGUAGAGGGAGGUGGAAUUCCGUGUGUAGAGGUGAAAUUCGUAGAUAUACGGAGGAAUACCGGUGGCGAAGGCGGCCUCCUGGACCAUUUCUGACACUGAGACGCGAAAGCGUGGGGAGCAAACAGGAUUAGAUACCCUGGUAGUCCACGCUGUAAACGAUGGGUACUAGAUGUUGCGGGAAUUGACCCCUGCAGUGUCGACGCUAACGCAUUAAGUACCCCGCCUGGGAAGUACGGCCGCAAGGUUA